RNAcentral lists this ribosomal RNA (253 nucleotides) under uncultured bacterium. Its description in RNAcentral is "partial 16S ribosomal RNA". It matches the Rfam family "Bacterial small subunit ribosomal RNA", at positions 524 to 776 of the family's 1533-position model. The record is from RNAcentral.
UACGUAGGGUGCGAGCGUUGUCCGGAAUUAUUGGGCGUAAAGGGCUCGUAGGCGGUUUGUCGCGUCGGGAGUGAAAUCACCGGGCUUAACUUGGUGUCUGCUUUCGAUACGGGCUGACUAGAGGCAUGCAGGGGAGAACGGAAUUCCUGGUGUAGCGGUGAAAUGCGCAGAUAUCAGGAGGAACACCGGUGGCGAAGGCGGUUCUCUGGGCAUGUCCUGACGCUGAGGAGCGAAAGUGUGGGGAGCGAACAGG